Molecule: transfer RNA, 73 nt
Filed under: Dasypus novemcinctus (nine-banded armadillo)
Lineage: Eukaryota; Metazoa; Chordata; Mammalia; Cingulata; Dasypodidae
Description: tRNA-Phe (GAA) (tRNA-Phe-GAA-6-1)
Rfam family: tRNA
About the family: Transfer RNA (tRNA) molecules are approximately 80 nucleotides in length. Their secondary structure includes four short double-helical elements and three loops (D, anti-codon, and T loops). Further hydrogen bonds mediate the characteristic L-shaped molecular structure. tRNAs have two regions of fundamental functional importance: the anti-codon, which is responsible for specific mRNA codon recognition, and the 3' end, to which the tRNAs corresponding amino acid is attached (by aminoacyl-tRNA synthetases). tRNAs cope with the degeneracy of the genetic code in two manners: having more than one tRNA (with a specific anti-codon) for a particular amino acid; and 'wobble' base-pairing, i.e. permitting non-standard base-pairing at the 3rd anti-codon position.
Source: RNAcentral
GCCGGGGUAGCUCAGUUGGGAGAGCGUUAGACUGAAGAUCUAGAGGUCCCUUGUUCAAUCCCGGGUCCCGGCG